CAAAGUACAAAAUAAAUUUCCAAACAAGUUGCGUGUAUCUCAAUUAUGAACUGUUAUUGAUUAAAGUACAAAAUGAAGUUCCAUAUAAGCACGUGCUGUCAUAGCGAACCAAAUUAUCAAGCAUAAAUAUAAGAGUACACUAAGUUUUGACCAACACAUAGUCUCACACAUUAGUAUAUCGUCAAGCAAGUUUGUUAGCUACUCUGCACGAAGCCACCAAGCAGUUCUGUACCAACACAAAGCACACAUGCCACCACCCCCUCUAUGCCUCCAUGUAGCAUGCAGUCGAAACCU
RNAcentral lists this long non-coding RNA (294 nucleotides) under Hordeum vulgare. Its description in RNAcentral is "long non-coding RNA (HVUL_LNC021122)". Lineage: Eukaryota; Viridiplantae; Streptophyta; Magnoliopsida; Poales; Poaceae. The record is from RNAcentral.